GGCGGGGAUUAGUGGCGAACGGGUGAGUAACACGUGGGCAAUCUGCCCUGCACUCUGGGACAAGCCCUGGAAACGGGGUCUAAUACCGGAUAUGACUGUCCAUCGCAUGGUGGAUGGUGUAAAGCUCCGGCGGUGCAGGAUGAGCCCGCGGCCUAUCAGCUUGUUGGUGAGGUAGUGGCUCACCAAGGCGACGACGGGUAGCCGGCCUGAGAGGGCGACCGGCCACACUGGGACUGAGACACGGCCCAGACUCCUACGGGAGGCAGCAGUGGGGAAUAUUGCACAAUGGGCGAAAGCCUGAUGCAGCGACGCCGCGUGAGGGAUGACGGCCUUCGGGUUGUAAACCUCUUUCAGCAGGGAAGAAGCGAAAGUGACGGUACCUGCAGAAGAAGCGCCGGCUAACUACGUGCCAGCAGCCGCGGUAAUACGUAGGGCGCAAGCGUUGUCCGGAAUUAUUGGGCGUAAAGAGCUCGUAGGCGGCUUGUCACGUCGGUUGUGAAAGCCCGGGGCUUAACCCCGGGUCUGCAGUCGAUACGGGCAGGCUAGAGUUCGGUAGGG
RNAcentral lists this ribosomal RNA (558 nucleotides) under Streptomyces sp. SIIA 2053. RNAcentral describes it as "bacterial SSU rRNA". It matches the Rfam family "Bacterial small subunit ribosomal RNA", at positions 84 to 656 of the family's 1533-position model. The record is from RNAcentral. Lineage: Bacteria; Bacillati; Actinomycetota; Actinomycetes; Kitasatosporales; Streptomycetaceae.